Non-coding RNA from Poronia punctata, 244 nucleotides. The record is from the annotation of a GenBank genome assembly. NCBI's taxonomy places the organism in Eukaryota, Fungi, Ascomycota, Sordariomycetes, Xylariales, Xylariaceae.
GCCAAAGUGGUGUAGUGGUUAACACUCCCGGUACGAUGCGCUUCUUGUAUCAAAGCCACCCUUGUGUGACGGACUAGCCCCCCUCUACAUAACACAGCUGAGAAAGUACUGGCACGUUGCUUUACGCAGCCCCUGGGAAAAAGAAGGCGCCGUUAUAAGAGGGGUCAGCUUACCUAUAAGAAGGCCCUUUGGUAGGUCGCGUAGCGGUUGACGGGAAAUCCAGGUUCGAAUCCUGGCUUUGGCU